AGUCGAGUUGGCUUAGGGAUACGUUCGUUGGGUAGGGGAGCGUUCUGUAAGCCAGUGAAGGUGUGUCGUGAGGCAUGCUGGAGGUAUCAGAAGUGCGAAUGCUGACAUAAGUAACGAUAAAGCGGGUGAAAAGCCCGCUCGCCGGAAGACCAAGGGUUCCUGUCCAACGUUAAUCGGGGCAGGGUGAGUCGACCCCUAAGGCGAGGCCGAAAGGCGUAGUCGAUGGGAAACGGGUUAAUAUUCCCGUACUUGGUGUUACUGCGAAGGGGGGACGGAGAAGGCUAUGUUGGCCGGGCGACGGUUGUCCCGGUUUAAGCGUGUAGGUGUGUGUUCCAGGUAAAUCCGGUUCACUUUAACACUGAGGCGUGAUGACGAGGCACUACGGUGCUGAAGCAACAAAUGCCCUGCUUCCAGGAAAAGCCUCUAAGCAUCAGGUAACAUCAAAUCGUACCCCAAACCGACACAGGUGGUCAGGUAGAGAAUACCAAGGCGCUUGAGAGAACUCGGGUGAAGGAACUAGGCAAAAUGGUGCCGUAACUUCGGGAGAAGGCACGCUGACACGUAGGUGAAGUGAUUUACUCAUGGAGCUGAA
This 592-nucleotide ribosomal RNA is filed under the name Salmonella enterica subsp. enterica. RNAcentral's name for it is "partial 23S ribosomal RNA". It matches the Rfam family "Bacterial large subunit ribosomal RNA", at positions 1198 to 1781 of the family's 2925-position model. The record is from RNAcentral. Lineage: Bacteria; Pseudomonadati; Pseudomonadota; Gammaproteobacteria; Enterobacterales; Enterobacteriaceae.